UACGAAGGGGGCUAGCGUUGCUCGGAAUCACUGGGCGUAAAGCGCACGUAGGCGGCUUUCUAAGUCAGGGGUGAAAUCCUGGAGCUCAACUCCAGAACUGCCUUUGAUACUGGAGAGCUUGAGUCCGGGAGAGGUGAGUGGAACUCCGAGUGUAGAGGUGAAAUUCGUAGAUAUUCGGAAGAACACCAGUGGCGAAGGCGGCUCACUGGCCCAGUACUGACGCUGAUGUGCGAAAGCGUGGGGAGCAAACAGG
This 253-nucleotide ribosomal RNA is filed under the name uncultured bacterium. RNAcentral describes it as "partial 16S ribosomal RNA". It matches the Rfam family "Bacterial small subunit ribosomal RNA", at positions 524 to 776 of the family's 1533-position model. The record is from RNAcentral.